CUGCUACUCAGACUAGAUCAACACUGCCUUCCAAACGAAAGCCUAUGCCAAAUAUGAUCCGCAUGGGCACAAUACUUGGCUAUUCAUAAAAACACUGUUAUAUUCCCAUUGUUUUUAUUUUUCUUACAGCAUAGCCUGAGCUACAAGAGAGCGAUAUGACUUACAGUCAAUUCUAAGAUAGAUCGCCGCUGAGUGGUGGAUGCGCGUCAGUGCCGGGAUCUGUCAGUGUAUUCUGAGAAAAGAUCAUCCUUCCGUGCUGCGUGGUGGGGAGCUGAGCAUAUAGCUGUAGAAUAGAGGGAGGAUAGGGAGGCGUUCUGUGUACGGAACAUAACGAGUAAGCGUUAUAAAUGACAUUGCAAGCAAAUAAUACGGAUUCCAAACGUUAAAACACGCUCAAAACGGAAGUGUGACAAGGGGGCACAAGCGCCCGGUUCCUACAGAAACGAUCUCCUCGAUUGAUAAUUUUCUUGAAAGGAGCGGCCGAUUCCCUUGCAAUCAUGGGGAACCGGGGGAUGGAAGACCUUAUUCCCCUGGUGAAUAAAAUGCAAGAUGCCUUCUCGGCCAUCGGACAAAAUUCCCAGUUGGACCUGCCUCAAAUUGCUGUGGUCGGUGGGCAGAGUGCAGGGAAAAGCUCGGUGUUGGAGAACUUCGUUGGGAAGGACUUCCUUCCCCGUGGCUCUGGUAUCGUUACUCGCCGCCCUUUGGUCCUCCAGCUUAUCAACUGUCCCACAGAAUAUGCUGAGUUCCUUCACUGUAAAGGAAAGAAGUUCACGGACUUCGAUGAGGUUCGGGCUGAGAUCGAGGCGGAGACGGACCGUAUCACUGGGCAAAAUAAGGGCAUCUCCCCUGUGCCAAUUAACCUCCGGGUUUACUCCCCACAUGUCCUGAACCUGACUUUGGUGGACUUGCCUGGGAUGACCAAAGUUCCAGUCGGGGACCAGCCUGCGGACAUCGAGCAGCAGAUCAGGGACAUGUUGUAUCAGUUUGUGACCAAGGACAACUGUCUCUUGCUGGCUGUCUCCCCAGCCAACUCUGAUCUGGCAAACUCAGAUGCCCUGAAGAUUGCCAAAGAGGUCGACCCACAAGGUCUACGAACUAUUGGUGUGAUAACCAAGCUGGACCUAAUGGACGAGGGGACUGACGCCCGAGAAAUUCUGGAGAACAAGCUGCUGCCACUGCGGAGGGGUUACAUUGGGGUGGUGAACAGGAGUCAGAAAGAUAUUGAUGGUAAGAAAGACAUUACUGCUGCCAUGGCUGCAGAGAGGAAGUUCUUCCUGACCCACCCUGCAUACAGGCACCUAGCUGAUCGUAUGGGCACCCCUUACCUACAAAAGACACUCAACCAGCAACUGACCAAUCACAUUCGGGACACUCUGCCAGGACUGCGGGCAAAACUGCAGAGCCAGCUGCUGUCUAUAGAGAAGGAGGUGGAGGAGUACAAGAACUUCAGACCUGAUGACCCCUCUCGCAAGACCAAGGCCCUGCUGCAGAUGGUUCAGCAGUUCUCCGUGGAUUUUGAGAAGCGUAUUGAGGGCUCUGGGGACCAGAUUGACACGGCGGAACUGUCAGGAGGAGCCAGGAUCAACCGCAUCUUCCAUGAACGCUUUCCCUUUGAGCUGGUCAAGAUGGAAUUUAAUGAGAAGGAGCUUCGCAAGGAGAUCAGCUAUGCCAUCAAGAACAUCCAUGGCAUCAGAACUGGCCUCUUCACUCCGGACAUGGCCUUUGAGACCAUUGUGAAAAGGCAGAUCGGCAAGAUCAAAGAGCCCUGCCAGAAAUGUGUGGACAUGGUCAUUUCUGAGCUAGUCAAUACGGUUAGGCAGUGUACUCAGAAGCUGGCCCAGUACCCCAUGCUGAGGGAGGAGAUGGAGAAGAUUGUCACUCAGCACAUCAGAGAUCGUGAGAGUCGCACCAAGGACCAGGUGAUGUUGCUAAUUGACAUUGAGCUGGCCUACAUGAACACUAACCAUGAGGACUUCAUUGGCUUUGCCAAUGCUCAGCAGAGGAGCAGCCAGGUAGCCCAGAAGAAGCAGCCUGGCAAUAAGCAGGAUGAGAUCAUGCCGGAGAGAGGAGCAGUUAAUGAUCGGUUUAAGGUGAUCCGGAAAGGCUGGCUUACCAUUAACAACAUUGGCAUCAUGAAGGGAGGAGCCAAGGAGUACUGGUUUGUUCUGACUGCUGAGUCCCUGUCCUGGUACAAGGAUGAUGAGGAGAAAGAGAAGAAGUACAUGCUCCAGGUGGACAAUCUGAGGCUGAGGGAUGUGGAGAAGGGCUUCAUGUCUAGCAAGCAAAUCUUUGCAUUGUUCAACACUGAGCAAAGGAAUGUUUAUAAGGACUACCGUCAGCUGGAAUUGGCCUGCGAGAGUCAGGAGGAGAUAGAUGGCUGGAAGGCCUCCUUCCUCAGAGCUGGAGUGUAUCCAGAACGUGUCACGGAAAAGGAAGGCAAGAGUGACAGCGGGGAUGGAGAGAACAGCUCAGAUAACCUAAUGAACUCCAUGGACCCUCAGCUGGAGAGGCAGGUGGAGACCAUCCGUAACCUGGUGGACUCCUACAUGGCCAUCGUCAACAAGACCAUCAGGGACCUCAUGCCCAAGACCAUCAUGUACCUCAUGAUCAACAACACUAAGGAGUUCAUCAACGCAGAGUUGCUGGCAAACCUGUAUCACUCUGGGGACCAGAACAGCCUGAUGGAGGAGUCCCAGGAACAGGCCCAUCACCGUGACGAGAUGCUCCGCAUGUACCACGCCCUGAAGGAGGCCUUGAGCAUCAUUGGAGAUAUCAGCACCACCACCGUCACCACGGCUAUGCCGCCGCCCGUGGACGACUCCUGGCUGAGGCCAGGGGGCAACAGCUCUGGGGGCCGGUCUCCGGCUACCAGUCCUACUCCAAACAGAAGGGCUCCCCCAGGCCCCCCUGGUCGCCCGGUCUCCCGUGGUUCGGCCCCUGGCCUCCCACCUGGCCCCCCAGUCCCCUCUCGCCCGGGGGCCUCUCCGGACCCCUUCGGUGGGCCCCCUCCAUCAGUCCCGUCCCGGCCUAACCGCGCCCCCCCUGGUGUGCCCAGGAUCACUAUCAGUGACCAAUGAGGACUAACGCUUCUGCCGAAGACCCCCGCCCUCACCAACCCACUAAACUCCUGAGCCCCCCCUCCCCUCCAACCCAGCCAACCCCUCGGCAGAGAGAACCAGGACUGCAGAGCUCCCUGCCUUCACCCGCCACACUGUCCUUUCCACCUCCACUCGACGAAUCACACAAAGACACUGCAUUCCCAAAAUACGCAACGCCUCUACCCGUCCCUGUAAAUGAAAGACCAUUGUAGAUAUGACAAUAUGUUCACACGCACACUGACACCUUGGUCACGGGGGUGAGUGAGGACAUCAGGUUUAAACCACUAACCCCAUCAGUGAACCCUACACACACUCACCCCUCCCUCUUCCCUGAAACUAUGUGUUCCAUUGCUGUGUGAGAGAUAUGACCUUUUCUACCAGUGACCUGUCAUCUGUGGUUUGUUGUAUUAUGACAUUUGUAAGACUUGACAAGUUAAAAACCUGAAGUCACUAGCCUACCCACAGACCUGUUUCAGUCCCAUACCAUCCCCACCUCACGCAAAACCGCCCUCCCCUUCACAACAACAGUAAAUACUAAGUAUGUUUUAAUUAUUAUUGAAGAGUAAAUAGUUCAUUAUGGACAUAUCUUGUGUGUGUGAUUCUGUAUUUUGUGUUGUGCAUCUUAUGGAAACGAUGCUUCCGCUUGUCUAGAGUUUAGAUGAAAAUGUAUCAGUACUGAAUAUUAAAAUGAUGAAUAAUUGAGUGUGUGCAAUGAAAAAAAUAUAAAAUAAAAAUAUAAAAAAUAAACUACAUUACGUGAAAUGUUAUAUGAAAUAUAUUUGGGAUUUGAAAUCCCUGUCAGUGGUUGAGUGUUGGCAGGUUGUUUGUUGAUUAGCAUGGAGAAUAAUUAAUCCCAUGUUUCUCUGUCCGGAGUGUUGUGGGGGCACAGUGUAUAUUAUCCUGUUGUGACUUCAUCCUGUAUCCCAUCUUACUGUGGGUGGAAUGGGCCUGUCCAACUGUGUGAUUUGUAAACACAUUAAAAGUCAGUGUACAAAAA
RNA transcript from Esox lucius (northern pike), 4095 nucleotides. It is a transcript of the gene named dynamin 1a, with no coding region annotated. NCBI's taxonomy places the organism in Eukaryota, Metazoa, Chordata, Actinopteri, Esociformes, Esocidae. The transcript is spliced from 25 exons. The record is from RefSeq and is a predicted model, not a curated record.